RNAcentral lists this non-coding RNA (84 nucleotides) under Candidatus Doudnaibacteriota. Its description in RNAcentral is "Candidatus Doudnabacteria c-di-GMP-II sequence". It matches the Rfam family "Cyclic di-GMP-II riboswitch aptamer". The record is from RNAcentral.
CUUAAACAAUGGGCUGUGAAGUUUUGUCCGCAAUUUGGUCGCUUGGACAAGAUGGAGCCAAUAGCGAAACCGACAUUGUGAGAG